Molecule: non-coding RNA, 1090 nt
Organism: Podarcis muralis (Common wall lizard)
Lineage: Eukaryota; Metazoa; Chordata; Lepidosauria; Squamata; Lacertidae
Source: RefSeq, a predicted model, not a curated record
CGGGGUAAAAAAAGGAGAGUUAAGCGCUGCACACGCGCGCUCUGCCCAUGGCUUCGAAAAAAGGGGAAAGCAGACCCAAUCUCCAAGGGCGACGUUUUUAUUCCUGACAGGAUUCACACCUUGGCUUGGACAGAAAUUGAAGAGAUGGGGUGGGUUUCACCUGCUGAGUUUCUGUGCCGCACCUGGUUUUUAAGAGAACCUUUCAGGUGUGUGACGUUUUCUGCACACACACCCCAAAGUAGGAAACGGUCUUUAUCUGAUGGAAUCAGAUUCUGUUUUUACUUUCUGUGGCACAGCCAGAAGUUUAACAGUUUACAGCGCACCUCCGUUUAUUAUCCACACCUGUUGAAUUUCUGCCUGCUGCCCACUUUGAAAGGCACGAGGCUUCCCAGUGGAAGCCCUGCGGACUUCAACCAUUUUCACCCUCGUAUAAAACCAUUGCUUCAAGUAUCAAACAUGGAUCCUCCUGGCGCUGCGAUCCUGUACGUGCCCACCUGAAAGUGCGCUUGCUGGGCUCCUUUGGCAGGAAGGGCGAGAUGCAGAUUUAAAUAUUGCUCCGUGUUUGGAUAUGGCCGUCAGUAUAUUUGCACACAUAGUGUGCAACUGUGCUGGGAAUCCUUUGAACGCUUCCUUCGCCCAGUUUAGAUUAUGCACAGCACCCAAGAAUCAACACUCUUGUCAAGAAGCAAGUCAUCCAGUUCCAUGAUGCUGUUGUUACAUGACAGUUGUGAAUAGUCCUCUUUUAUGCAGUGAUCGGAGAUGACUCCAUGUCUGCAAAGCUUUCUGUUUUCCUGAUCUGAGAAAGAGCAGCCACAAGAAGGAAUAAGAAUAGGAUGCAUUGUUUAUAAAUCUAUAUUAGCUACUAGGUCUCAGGAUAUCUCCUGAAGGUAUAUGAGGCUUCCACCUUGCUGGAGCUAAGCAGGUCUGGGUUUGGGCAUUUGUGUGUUGCUUUGAAAAUGCUAAUAACAGAUAUUGGGCUGUCACUGUUCGCAGAAAUCUUAGCUCAGCAUAGGAGCUUUCAUUCAGGAAUUGAUCCAUCCAUCAGUUAAAUCCACAGAUUUGCAUAUGAAUAAAAUACAUUUGAGAUAAA